AUGGUUUGUCGAGAUCGGUGUGGAAGAACUUGACUGGCCUGCACAGAGCCUCAACUGCUCUUGUGGCUGAAUGGAAGCAAGUCCCCGCAGCAACGUUCCAACAUGUAGUCGAAAUCCUUCCCAGAUACGUGGAGGCUGUUGUAGCAGCAAAGGGGGAACUCCAUGUUAAUGCCCAUUAUUUUGGAAUGAGAUGUUCAUAAAAACAGGUGUCCACAUACUUAUGGUCAUGUAGUGUUUCUGUUCUCUCUCCCAUCUCCAUCUCUGUCAUCAACACUCUAAAGAGCAGAUAUAUACCAUUGACCCUGAUUCACCAAUGGAGAGCAGUCAUAACAGGUCUAGUGGUCUAAGCCAUUGCCUCCAGAUCACAUAUAACGCAACAGCAUGGAGGGUCUCAGUCUAGAAACUAAGCAGCUCCUCUCCUCCACCUCCAAGAAGAAAGGAAAGGGUGGGGCUAAGGGGGAACUAGCCAAAGAGGAAGAUGCCAAGAUGGACACUCAGCCAAUCAACAUCAGCCUCCGAUUCAAGAGAUACGUUUUUGACCCCCACAAGAAGAUGGUUCAGUCUUGAGGUGCGUUCAGUUCACUUGAACGUUUGCUACAUUGUGGAGCGGUUUGUACUGAACAACACGUUUCCCCAAAACGUUCUUGUAUGUUCUUGAACAGACUUUGUGCUACGUUUGGUGGGUAUGGCGAGGUGUGGCUUGAAGCAAGGAGUGACGAAUUGAAAGGGCAGCGGUCAUGCAGACAGCGUUCCCAAACCCACAACCCCUCCCCAUUUUUAAACUGGUUGUUCAGUACAGCACCGUUUCCGUUCAAGUGAACGUUCCAGAAUGUAAAAACCAACAGACCGCAGCCCUGACCUUGGCAGCAGUAGCUAGAGGAUGAGAACAGAGCGGUUAAAACAAGUGGCUACACUGUUCUCCUCUUCGAGUUGAAAGUAACGAUUACUAUAUUUUCAAUACAUUUUUCCAUGAUAGGUGAAUAAAUGCUUGCACAAAAUAAAAGGUGUGUCAGCCAUGUUACAGUAAUGAUGGAAAGAUGAGUGGUUCAGAGACGGUGUAAAGGCUGGCCUCUGUAUCUGGAGCACAUAGUGCCUUCAGAAAGUAUUCAUACCUUUUGACUUAUUCCACAUGUUGUUGUGUUACAGCCUGAUUUCAAAAUAAUGACAAAGUGAAAAUGUUUUUAGAAAUGUUUGCAAAUGUAUUGAAAAUGACAUACAGAAAUAUCUCAUUUACAUAAGUAUUCACACCCCUCAGUCAAUACUUUGUAGAAGCACCUUUGGCAGUGAUUAUAGCUGUGAGUCUUUCUGGGUAAGUCUCUAUGAGCUUUCCACACCUGGAUUGUGCAACAUUUGCCCAUUUAUACAUUUCAAAAUUCUUUGCUAGACAGUCAUUUUCAGGUGUUGCCGUAACUGUUUUAAAGUCACCAUUGGCCUCAUGGUGAAAUCCCUGAGCGGUUUCCUUCCUCUCCGACAACGGAGUUAGGGAGGACGCCUUUAUCUUUGUAGUGACUGGGUGUAUUGAUACACUGUCCAAAUGUAAUUAAUAAACCAGAAAGCCAUUGCAAUGCUAGUUAUAGCCUAAUGUUAGCUAGCUAACUAACAUUGAAUCUAGUUGGUUAGCUUUAGCUACCUGCAGAUUCAUACUCCAGCAUUUCAUGCAUGGUGGCUAGCUAUGACAAUCCAUUUUGCACUGUAGCUAUGGGUUGGGAUUAUGGUUAAUUGUUUAGCUAGCUAGCUAACAUAACUUUAUUUCUGCUAGCUAGCUACAUGUCUAAACAAAAUACUCCACUUCGCAAGAGAAUGAUUACGUGACCCAUCAAUUUAGCCUGGUGUGUCUGGGGGUGAUUACGGCCAUCUAUUGUAUUUCAUGUACAUGUCUAGUGACCCAUCCACUUAGAUAGAUGUGUCUGGGGGUGAUUACGGCCAUCUAUUGUAUUUCAUGUACAUGUCUAGUGACCCAUCCACUUAGAUAGAUGUGGCUGGGGGGUGGUUAUAGCAUUUAUUUAACAUGGCCCAUCAAUUUAGGGUCUGGGUAAGCAUCAUCUAAUAAUUCUGAAAUAUUUAUACAAUAUUUUUAGCUGGACACUUUCAAAGUAAGAUUAGGAUAUAGGCCACGGACGAGACAACGUGUAUUGUUACCUGGAGAUUUUCAUUAAUGUAGGCUACUACUUAAACCACGUUUAGUCUUGAAAUCUUUGGUUGUUUCAGUCUCUCAGUCAAGUUACCUGGUAAAAUAGAUAAAAAAAUAAUAAUAAUAAAUAACCCAAUCCUGAUCUGUACUUCUCCACAACUUUGUCCCUGACCUGUUUGGAGAGCUCCUUGGUCUUCAUUGUGCCGCUUGCUUGGUGGUGCCCCUUGCUUAAUGGUGUUACAGACUCUGGGGCCUUCAGAACAAGUGUAUAUAUACUGAGAUCAUGUGACGGAUUAUGUGACACUUAGAUUGCACACAGGUGGACUUUGUUUAACUAAUUAUGUGACUUCUGAAGGUAAUUGGUUGCACCAGAUCUUAUUUAGGGGCUUCAUAGCAAAGGAGGUGAAUACAUAUGCACCCACCACUUUUCUGUUUUUAAGUUUUGUACAUUUUUUGAAACAAGUAAUUUUUUCCAUUUCACUUCACCAAUUUGGACUAUUUUGUCUAUGUCCAUUACAUGAAAUCCAAAUAAAAAUCCAUUUAAAUUACAGGUUGUAAUGCAAUAAAAUAGAAGAACCGCCAAGGGGGACGAAUACUUUUGCAAGGCACUGUACUGAAUGAUGUGUGAAAUUUGUUUUGAUUUUAAAAUGGACCAUUGUCAUUAACCUGUCUCGAAACAGGGGCAGCAGAAAAAAAGACAUGUCAUCUUUGCACUUAAAUAGCAAAUGGAGGACGCUUUUCCUGUGGUUCAUUUUCUUUUUUUGAAUUUGACCCCUUUUUCUCCCCAAUUUCG
Oncorhynchus tshawytscha (Chinook salmon) is the source of this 2924-nucleotide long non-coding RNA. NCBI's taxonomy places the organism in Eukaryota, Metazoa, Chordata, Actinopteri, Salmoniformes, Salmonidae. The record is from Ensembl.